Molecule: RNA transcript, 1369 nt
Organism: Magnolia sinica
Lineage: Eukaryota; Viridiplantae; Streptophyta; Magnoliopsida; Magnoliales; Magnoliaceae
Exons: 2
Source: RefSeq, a predicted model, not a curated record
AGAAAAUGCUUGCAAUGAAUUUUUAUGAGUACUAGGUAGCCUAUUAAUGAAUACAAUGUCUCCGUCCAUAAUACGUAUGUUUAUGAUUUGACCAACUUUCAAAUAUGUAUGUCCUUUUGAACCUUCCCUAAUUGCACAAGUGGUUGAACCAUCUCUAUAUGUUACACAUAAUUUGUCAUCCACUAGUUUUUGUAAAUGAAAUUAAGAGGAUUGAUCUCAACAGUAUGGUCGUCAUGCACAUAGACAGAAAAUGCUUGCAAUGAAUGUUUAUGAGUACUUGGUAAUUUUGGAGUCCUUGGUUAGGGUUUGGAAAGUACGAGUGUUGGAGCUAACGCUUUCGGAGUCCAAACUCAUUCUUUUGAAAAAUAGAAAAAUGAGAAUAUUAGUAAAUAUGGAUUUUCUUGUUAAGAAGAAAAUGGAAGAUGGAUUGAAAAAAACAUAAAAGAGAUUUUUUUCUUCUUCUUUUUUGCUUCAAGAGAGAGAGACCAAGCUAACAAUGAGCUUCUUUUAAAGGAUCAAUUGGUUUUGUUUCACAAUAAACCAAACUUUAAAACUAAGCUAACAAAGAGCUUCUUUCAAAGGAUCAAAAUUGAUAGCACUCUUACCUAAAAAGUAUUGAAGGCCUUUAAAGUCCUUUAUCUUAAAAUUUUGAGAGAGAUUUUUUAAAAUUUUCACAUAUCCUAUAACACCACUUGUGAUGAUCAAAUUAUCUAUGUCAACAACACAAAGUUUCAUUUAUAUAUUUCUUCACAAAAGUGCAUGUAUUAGUAAAAGGAAAAAUAAAAUCACUUGAAGAAAGUAUUCUCUAACCUUUGUAACCAAGCUUUAGAUGCUUGUUUUAGAUCAUGGAGUACCUUUUUUGGUUUGCAUGCAUGCCUUAGCUUCAUAUGAUCAUAAAAUUUCAUAGGUUGAUUAAUAUAUAUGAUGAAACCCUACUCUCUCACAGCAAUGUGAGAAUAACAACAUUCUAGAUAUGCAUAUCCUUUAUCUUUCUUGUAUGUAGUUACAUGUCGAAUUUCUUCGUUCUUUGAUUCAUUACACUCAAUUCAGGUAUGGUUUGCACCAAUUCAAGAGACUGUACAUUAGGCAUUCAAUAUAUAAGACUGGAGUGAGACUGAUUAGGCAUUUAAAUGUGUUGCAGGAUGUUGUUUGAAUUGCUUGUCCUAACAGGUGCACAAGUUGGGAUGGAUUGGACUUCUAUCUUGAGAAAAUGUCAUGAUUUCAGAAAGACAAAUAGCAUCAGUGGCCACAGAUUGCAACCUGGAUUUAAACAAGGUUCGAGGUGUCGUUAACAAUGCUAACAGAAUCCUCCAGGUCAGAUUGUUGAUUGGACCUGAUUUUAUUUAAAUGAUCUUGAUAAUCCAUUUUA